GAUGAAGAACGUAGCGAAAUGCGAUACGUAAUGUGAAUUGCAGAAUUCAGUGAAUCAUCGAAUCUUUGAACGCAUAUUGCGCUCUUUGGUAUUCCGAAGAGCAUGCUUGUUUGAGUAUCAGUAAACACCUCAAAGCUUUUGGAUUUUUUAAUCGAAAAGCUUUGGACUUGAGCAAUCCCAACACCAAUCUUUUUGAGAUCGGUGGCGGGCUGCUUGAAAUGCAGGUGCAGCUGGACAUUCUCCUGAGCUAAAAGCAUAUUCAUUUAGUCCCGUCAAACGGAUUAUUACUUUUGCUGCAGCUAACAUAAAGGGAGUUUGACCGUAUUGGCUGACUGAUGCAGGAUUUCACAAGGGUCGGCAACGAUUCUUGUUAAACUCGAUCUCAAAUCAAGUAAGACUACCCGCUGAACUUAAGCAUAUCAAUAAGCGGAGGA
This 434-nucleotide unclassified non-coding RNA is filed under the name soil metagenome. Its description in RNAcentral is "partial contains 5.8S ribosomal RNA, internal transcribed spacer 2, and large subunit ribosomal RNA". The stretch from base 1 to 120 matches the Rfam family "5.8S ribosomal RNA", at positions 35 to 154 of the family's 154-position model. The record is from RNAcentral.